Molecule: ribosomal RNA, 549 nt
Filed under: Salmonella enterica subsp. enterica serovar Newport str. 36799
Lineage: Bacteria; Pseudomonadati; Pseudomonadota; Gammaproteobacteria; Enterobacterales; Enterobacteriaceae
Also listed under: 1 other name
Description: bacterial SSU rRNA
Rfam family: Bacterial small subunit ribosomal RNA
Source: RNAcentral
CUUUCCAGAGAUGGAUUGGUGCCUUCGGGAACUGUGAGACAGGUGCUGCAUGGCUGUCGUCAGCUCGUGUUGUGAAAUGUUGGGUUAAGUCCCGCAACGAGCGCAACCCUUAUCCUUUGUUGCCAGCGAUUAGGUCGGGAACUCAAAGGAGACUGCCAGUGAUAAACUGGAGGAAGGUGGGGAUGACGUCAAGUCAUCAUGGCCCUUACGACCAGGGCUACACACGUGCUACAAUGGCGCAUACAAAGAGAAGCGACCUCGCGAGAGCAAGCGGACCUCAUAAAGUGCGUCGUAGUCCGGAUUGGAGUCUGCAACUCGACUCCAUGAAGUCGGAAUCGCUAGUAAUCGUGGAUCAGAAUGCCACGGUGAAUACGUUCCCGGGCCUUGUACACACCGCCCGUCACACCAUGGGAGUGGGUUGCAAAAGAAGUAGGUAGCUUAACCUUCGGGAGGGCGCUUACCACUUUGUGAUUCAUGACUGGGGUGAAGUCGUAACAAGGUAACCGUAGGGGAACCUGCGGUUGGAUCACCUCCUUACCUUAAAGAAGC